This 324-nucleotide ribosomal RNA is filed under the name uncultured prokaryote. RNAcentral's name for it is "bacterial SSU rRNA". It matches the Rfam family "Bacterial small subunit ribosomal RNA", at positions 26 to 352 of the family's 1533-position model. The record is from RNAcentral.
AGAUUGAACGCUGGCGGCAUGCCUAACACAUGCAAGUCGAGCGGCAGCGCGGGGGCGACCCUGGCGGCGAGCGGCGGACGGGUGAGUAAGGCAUCGGAAUCUGCCCUGAUGUGGGGGAUAACGUAGGGAAACUUACGCUAAUACCGCAUAUGCCCUACGGGGUAAAGCGGGGGAUCGUAAGACCUCGCGCAGCAGGAUGAGCCGAUGUCCGAUUAGCUGGUUGGUGGGGUAACGGCCCACCAAGGCGACGAUCGGUAGCUGGUCUGAGAGGAUGAUCAGCCACACUGGGACUGAGACACGGCCCAGACUCCUACGGGAGGCAGC